CCUACGGGAGGCAGCAGUGAGGAAUCUUUGUCAAUGGGCGCAACCCUGAACCAGCCAAGUAGCGUGAAGGAUGACAGCCCUACGGGUUGUAAACUUCUUUUAUGCGGGAAUAAAGUGAGACACGUGUGCCUUAUUGCAAGUACUUCAUGAAUACGGUCCGGCUAAUUCCGUGCCAGCAGCCGCGGUAAUACGGAGGUUCCGGGCGUUGUCCGGAUUUAUUGGGUUUAAAGGGAGCGAAGGUGGUUUGUUAAGUUCGUUGUGAAAGGCCGCGGCUCAACCGUUACAUUGCAAAUGGUACUGGGAGGCUUGAGUACAGGUGAGGGAGGCGGAAUUCGUGGUGUAGCGGUGAAAUGCUUAGAUAUCACGAAGAACUCCGAUGGCGAAGGCAGCUUACUAAAC
RNAcentral lists this ribosomal RNA (399 nucleotides) under uncultured bacterium. Its description in RNAcentral is "partial 16S ribosomal RNA". It matches the Rfam family "Bacterial small subunit ribosomal RNA", at positions 338 to 734 of the family's 1533-position model. The record is from RNAcentral.